UAGUGCGGGUUCUGCAAUCGGUCUUGGUGCCAUGUGGAAAUUCCCAUAUAUGGCAGGGAUCUAUGGCGGCGGUGCCUUUCUAGC
This 84-nucleotide small nuclear RNA is filed under the name Staphylococcus aureus. Its description in RNAcentral is "SARs255". Lineage: Bacteria; Bacillati; Bacillota; Bacilli; Caryophanales; Staphylococcaceae. The record is from RNAcentral.